GUUAUUGUUUCUUUGGACUAAAAAUGCUCUAUGGGAUGUUAUUCAGUGGACCCUCACCUUUCCAUCCAAUCUGGAACUUUUAGCAGUGGAUGCGUGUGUGGCUCGUUAUUACGACACUACUGGAUCUUCCGAAAAUUAGCGUCAGCGAUGUUCAUCGCAUUGUUGAUGCCUGGUCCCCAGCUCCAAGCAAGAGGGACAAGGGCUUUAAACUCUACAUAUCGAGUUAUCUGCACAACUACAAGGGUAAGUAGUUUAAUCUAAUGUGGUGUGCCGGCAGAUAGCGGCUAAGCUAGUUCGCCACGUGUUAAUUUUUAAUGUAACGUUAGUAUAGAAGCUUGUUUUUUCUUAGUUUUAAAGCAGACUGUUUGUUAAUUUUUGUGAUAAUUGUAAUAUCAAUUGUAUUAACUUGCUCUCCUCUCAGUUUCUAAUAAAGAUCAGGGCACAGGUGAAGUCACUGUCAGGGCAUUGUGCUACAGGUCCAUGAGGAAAACAGAGAAACCUCACAGUUUGAGUGUAUGGUGAAGCUAGAAUUGGUAAGACCGCAGUUAUAGGCUUGUUACUUUAAUAGCCCAGUGUUCCUGGGGACUCGGCUAAGGUUAUUCAUGUUUAAUGUACUCAAAUCAAAUGAAAACCGUUAUUGUAGGCAGGUAAGUUUCCCUAGCUGGUCCCCUCCGGGUAAAAUGCGUUCUUAUUCAAGUUUUCAACUCAGUCAUUCGUUUAAGAUGCAAUCUUGUGUUAUAAGUAUUAGGCUAUCAUGAUUAUACAGUGAGCAAGCUAUAUAAAUAAGUAUUUAAUAUAAUAAAAGUGUAGAGAAACAACCUAGGGUGUAAGGUAAAGGCUGAAUAUUGUAGAUUUAUUAUAAUAUGUUGCAUGUUUGAAUUAAAAUACCUGUGGAUAUGCAACUUCCCACUCAUGAAAGUUUUCUGUUCUACAAAGGAGCACACUCUACAAAGGCCUGACUGGAGAUUUGCCUGAUCUAUCCAUCCUUCAGGUGGAUGUAACAAUAGCAAAUUUCACUGUACAGUAUGAUAUAUCAACCAAAAUCUGUACAGCAAUAUUUCAUUAUUUUCUUUUUCCUCCCCUUUUACAAACAAAUAUUCUGCUUCAAAGAAAAAAAAUGAAAUUGAUGUUAUCAUAAGGGUUCUUCAUUAUGAACUUGUAUGCGAUGCAUAACGUACUGUGGAUAGAAAUUACAGGGAAAGUUACUGGUAUGAUAAUUGUGGUUAUAUUAUAUUACUAUUAUAUUUAGUGUAUUGCUAAUCAAUAUAUUGUUACUUCCCAGGUGACAGCGGCUCACUUAUAGAGCAGGUGAAGCAAGUUGGGACAAUGUUGAAGAUGUUUGCUCGCACUGUGCAAUCAGGUGCAGAUCAGACCCUAAUGCUGCGACGUCUUUGAGAGUUUGGUGAUGUUGUGCGUAGUAUGGACAACAAAAUGGACACUAUGCUGCAACAUUUCAGUGCCAAUGUGUCUGUUGGAGAGUUAUCCCUGCCAGGGGAUCUGUUACUCCCCCUAGACACCCAGGAAGAUUUGGCGUUGCUUGACAACAGUUUGAGGCAGGAUAAAGAGGUCCAGCAAUGAUUUCUUCGGUUUUUGGCAAUCAAAUGUGGGAGGGACCUAAAGACAACCGUGUGGCGAAUGCUUCAGAGUAUCUUCUCUAAUCACCUUUCCAUCAAUACAACCUGGACUGGUGUAGGGGAUAAAGCAUGUUUUAGAGACUUGUUCCUGAAGACCAUUGUUCAAAGAGCCAUCCGGAAGAACCCGGCAACCCAGGAUGCCACUGAUGAAGUGAUCCAGGUUAACGUUACGCAUUACCUGAAAGGAGCAUCUGAACGUGAAGGUGGAAAAGGCGCCGCACAGCUUAGAGGGACCCACAGCCGACCCCUUAAACCUAGGCUGACUACUGACACCCCAGCAUCACUGACAACUGGAACCCUUUCUUUAUCCUGCAGUCAGUAACAUCAAGACCCCUAAAAAAGCCUGCGUUAGACUACACUCACCCAAUCCACACGGUUCACUGUGGAAAUUGCUCUUUGUUUUUUUUGUUUUUUCUCUCAUGACCCUGCCUUGAGGGCAGCUCCUUGGAUGAAUAUGGGAUGGUUUGUCCUUUUAUACAGGCGCACGAGGAAUCACUGAAGAUAUGUCAAUUUGCACUACCUCAUUCUGGAGGUCGGGGAAAACCGGUGAUUCUUAGCCCACUACGCCACACAGACCACAACCACUCCAGACAUUCUGAUUGGCUGUGUUCUCUACAGCCAGACUUUCUGCUGUUAAUUGUAUUUGUUCCCACUUGUUGUCUUGUGUAAGUUGAAUGUCCAAAUUUAUAUUAUACAUGUUAUCCUGCGCAUUCUUUGAUACCAAAGAUCUCAAUCUCAAAAAAUAUACAAUUUGCUGCUUAUUUCACUGUUACAGUGCUUAACUAUUCUAUUUUUAAAUAUAGCUUGUAAAUCCUAGAUUAUACAUCUAAUACUUGAUAUCUGCACAUUAUCUGGUAUCAAAUAUUCUACUUACGUGACUUUAGUAUUGGCUUAUUUCAUUCCGUCAGUGCUUAACGAUUCUAUUAUAGUUUGUAAAUCCUAUUUCAUAACUCUGAUACUUGAUAUUGCACAUUAACUAGUACCAAAAAUUCUACUUUCAUUCCGUCACAGUGCUUAACUGUUAUUCUAUUGUUACAUAUAGCUUGUAAAUCCUUGUGCCACAGGUCAGCAUUGCAGUUAUAAUGGUAUAUUCUACUCCAGAGCUUUACUCUAAAUUAUUACCACUUAUCCUAUUGUUAGAAAUGACUUGUAUAUAUGAUGUUAUACCUCAAUUUAUUUGGUACCAAAUAUCCUCAUUGCUUAUGUUUACUGGUAAUUCUUUUCAUCCCAGAGCUGACCUCUUUAUAUAUAUUUUAUUUUAUUUUUUACCAAAAUUGAAUUGGAAACCUGCAUGUUCUUUAUGUGUGUGUGUGUGUGUGUGUGUGUGUAUAUAUAAAUAAUGUUUGUAUUUUUCUGUUAUUUAUAUUUCAGUGAUCUGAUAUCUUUCAAUGACAGUUACUGACACAACAAUAUUAUAUAUAUAUAUAUAUAUAUAUAUAUAUAUAUAUAUAUAUACACACACACACACACACACACACACACACACAAUAAGCAGAUUGCUCGUAAAUAGCGUUUGCCUCUGACGUCCCGCGGAAGGUCCGCCUUCGAUAUAACGGAUAUAAUUUUAAAAAGCGGCUGCCACCAGCGGUGCGCCGUCAAACGUGUUUGCGAUAACGCCAUUCUGCCGCUUCUACUGCCUCCGGAGCACCGCCAGCGGCCCACCGACUCAUUGCUAUCUGGGAUGCUACACCUAUUACUUUUUAUUAGGAUAUAUUUGCAAUCACAAUUUAAGAAUUCAAGAGACCCAGUGUAGCAGAAUUGCAAUGUAUGUUUACAGCAAUUAACAGCCUACCAAUUGUUUCAUAAAAAAGUAACAUAUCAGUAGCUGGCACUCUGAACUGUAUCACAACAACUUUUUUUUUUUAAUUUGUUUUUUUUUUGCUAAUAUCACAAAAUAGUCACCACAAAGCAAAAUGUGCUUUAAAAUAAAAAGUUUCUUAUUCAGUGCCAAUAUUUUCUGAAGUAGUACUAACUUAAACCCAAAAACAAAAUGCACAAAAAUAUUUUUUGUUUUGUUUAAAUCAGUGGCUUCCUUAAAUCACUAAUAUAUAUUUAGGAGUAAAUGAUGAGAGAAUUUUCAUUUUUGGGUGAACUAUCCCUUUAUAGUGAUUAGCUCAGCCAUAAUUUAAAAUUGUCAUUUCAUUUUCCUUAUGUUAUUCCAAACCCAUGUGGCCUUCUGUAUUCUGUGGAACACAAAAUAUGUUAGACAGAAUGUUAGAGACUGUCAGUCUCAGUCACCAUUCACUUUCAAAAUAUGGAGUAAUAUGGAAUAUGGAGUAAAAAACACAUUCUCUGAAAUGGCUCAAGCUAACAAUCUGUCUAAAAUCUCAUUGUGUCGCAUGGAAGAAAGAAAGUCAUACAGGUUUGGAACAACAUGAUUGUGAAAUGAUGACUGAAUUUCCAUUUAAUAAUAAUUCUGUAAUACAUGUUAAAUGUGUAUUAUGUAAUGGAAUAUAGGGGAGUUAAUGUCCAUUAUGUCAUUUGUUAAAGUAACUUGAGUACAAUAUUAAUUGGAUACUUUCUUACUCAAGUAAUUAUUUAUGUUAGUACUUUUACUUCUACUUCUACUUACUUCUACUUAAGAUAUUGUACUUUUACUUGAGUACAGAUUUGGUGACUCUACCCACCUCUGCACAUUUCCAAGCUUAAUCUGCUUAAUCUGAGAAACGUUUAUAAGAGAGAAAGACACUACAGCCAAAGACCUACACCAACUGUAAGAGGCUAUUCACACCGAAUGCUUUUACAACAUUCCAUUUGUUUUUCUAUGUAAACAUGUGAUAAAUGAAUGUCUUUUGUUUCCUAUUUGUUUUUGUUUAUUCAGUGUCUUGUGCAGUAGCACAGUUUUUUUUUAGAUAUGUGUCUAAUUAAAAAUAACAUUAAAAGCAUAUUGAGACACCUGCUUUCUGUUAAACUGUAUUUGUUGUGCUGUCUCUAGCCUUUUUUAGCACAAG
Xyrauchen texanus (razorback sucker) is the source of this 4585-nucleotide long non-coding RNA. RefSeq lists it as uncharacterized. The record is from RefSeq and is a predicted model, not a curated record. NCBI's taxonomy places the organism in Eukaryota, Metazoa, Chordata, Actinopteri, Cypriniformes, Catostomidae. The transcript has 5 exons.